AACGCACAUUGCGCCCGGCAGCACUCUGCCGGGCAUGCCUGUUCGAGCGUCAUUCCUCAACCCUCAAAUCAACUUUUGUUGGUUUGGUGUUGGAGGUUCUGCGGGACCGUCUUGUUUUCGGACAAGAUGCCGCAGCCUCUGAAAAGGAGUGGCGGCCCCGUCGUUUUGGCGCCCCCUGCGAAGUAGUAGCUUUCUACCGCGCUUACGCAUUGGGACCCGACGGGUAGCCUGUCGAAACCCCUGACCCUUUUCGAAGGGUCUCUCUUUCGUACGGUUGACCUCGAAUCAGGUAGGAAUACCCGCUGAACUUAA
This 312-nucleotide unclassified non-coding RNA is filed under the name Hevansia sp. Its description in RNAcentral is "partial contains 5.8S ribosomal RNA, internal transcribed spacer 2, and large subunit ribosomal RNA". Lineage: Eukaryota; Fungi; Ascomycota; Sordariomycetes; Hypocreales; Cordycipitaceae. The record is from RNAcentral. RNAcentral also lists the same sequence under 1 other name.